Oppia nitens is the source of this 246-nucleotide long non-coding RNA. RefSeq lists it as uncharacterized. The record is from RefSeq and is a predicted model, not a curated record. The transcript has 3 exons. NCBI's taxonomy places the organism in Eukaryota, Metazoa, Arthropoda, Arachnida, Sarcoptiformes, Oppiidae.
UGUGGCAAACGAAGAGAAAAUACAAUUGAAUUGUCAAUUAUUUGGCAUUUCUUUCUUCAGAUAUUGGGAUAAACGAUCACUUUUUAUUGAUUCACGUAAUGAUAAACCAGUUAAUGACAGUGGUUUUGUCGACACAUUUUUAACAUUAUUAUUUAAGACAAUUGCCGGAAUUAUUGGUCUAUUUAUAGCUAAUAUACUUUUAGUUAUAUGCAUUGUUAUAGGAUCAUCCCAUAUAAACGACUGUCC